Molecule: ribosomal RNA, 253 nt
Filed under: uncultured bacterium
Lineage: Bacteria
Description: partial 16S ribosomal RNA
Rfam family: Bacterial small subunit ribosomal RNA
Source: RNAcentral
UACGUAGGGUGCGAGCGUUGUCCGGAAUUAUUGGGCGUAAAGAGCUUGUAGGCGGUUUGUCGCGUCUGCUGUGAAAAUCCGGGGCUCAACCCCGGACUUGCAGUGGGUACGGGCAGACUAGAGUGUGGUAGGGGAGACUGGAAUUCCUGGUGUAGCGGUGGAAUGCGCAGAUAUCAGGAGGAACACCGAUGGCGAAGGCAGGUCUCUGGGCCAAUACUGACACUGAGGAGCGAAAGCCAGGGGAGCAAACGGG